AAGUUCCGACCUGCACGAAUGGCGUAACGACUUCCCCACUGUCUCCAGCAUAGGCUCAGCGAAAUUGAAUUCCCCGUGAAGAUGCGGGGUUCCCGCGGUCAGACGGAAAGACCCUAUGAACCUUUACUGCAGCUUCGCCUUGGCGUUAGCAGCAACAUGUGUAGGAUAGGUGGGAGGCUAUGAAACAGGGGCGCCAGUUCCUGCGGAGCCAUCCUUGA
This 218-nucleotide ribosomal RNA is filed under the name Anophryoides haemophila. RNAcentral's name for it is "partial Bacterial large subunit ribosomal RNA". It matches the Rfam family "Bacterial large subunit ribosomal RNA", at positions 1978 to 2195 of the family's 2925-position model. The record is from RNAcentral. Lineage: Eukaryota; Ciliophora; Oligohymenophorea; Philasterida; Glauconematidae.